GAACGUGACGAAGCUAUACAUGCAAGUCGAGCGGACAGAUGGGAGCUUGCUCCCUGAUGUUAGCGGCGGACGGGUGAGUAACACGUGGGUAACCUGCCUGUAAGACUGGGAUAACUCCGGGAAACCGGGGCUAAUACCGGAUGGUUGUUUGAACCGCAUGGUUCAAACAUAAAAGGUGGCUUCGGCUACCACUUACAGAUGGACCCGCGGCGCAUUAGCUAGUUGGUGAGGUAAUGGCUCACCAAGGCAACGAUGCGUAGCCGACCUGAGAGGGUGAUCGGCCACACUGGGACUGAGACACGGCCCAGACUCCUACGGGAGGCAGCAGUAGGGAAUCUUCCGCAAUGGACGAAAGUCUGACGGAGCAACGCCGCGUGAGUGAUGAAGGUUUUCGGAUCGUAAAGCUCUGUUGUUAGGGAAGAACAAGUACCGUUCGAAUAGGGCGGUACCUUGACGGUACCUAACCAGAAAGCCACGGCUAACUACGUGCCAGCAGCCGCGGUAAUACGUAGGUGGCAAGCGUUGUCCGGAAUUAUUGGGCGUAAAGGGCUCGCAGGCGGUUUCUUAAGUCUGAUGUGAAAGCCCCCGGCUCAACCGGGGAGGGUCAUUGGAAACUGGGGAACUUGAGUGCAGAAGAGGAGAGUGGAAUUCCACGUGUAGCGGUGAAAUGCGUAGAGAUGUGGAGGAACACCAGUGGCGAAGGCGACUCUCUGGUCUGUAACUGACGCUGAGGAGCGAAAGCGUGGGGAGCGAACAGGAUUAGAUACCCUGGUAGUCCACGCCGUAAACGAUGAGUGCUAAGUGUUAGGGGUUUCCGCCCCUUAGUGCUGCAGCUAACGCAUAAGCACUCCGCCUGGGGAGUACGGUCGCAAGACUGAAACUCAAAGGAAUUGACGGGGCCCGCACAAGCGGUGGAGCAUGUGAUUAAUUCGAAGCACGCGAGACCUGCG
RNAcentral lists this ribosomal RNA (950 nucleotides) under Priestia flexa. RNAcentral's name for it is "bacterial SSU rRNA". It matches the Rfam family "Bacterial small subunit ribosomal RNA", at positions 31 to 979 of the family's 1533-position model. The record is from RNAcentral. Lineage: Bacteria; Bacillati; Bacillota; Bacilli; Caryophanales; Bacillaceae.